GAUUGCAGGUUGUCAGGGCCCAAAGGAAAUCAUCUCAUACCCUUUGGGAUCUUUUAGUCGAGCAAACAAUCAAACAAGCAUCGGACAGAUUGCUAAGAGCAAAGGUCAAAACAAAGUUGAAUAAUAGCAUGCAGACCUCCUGUGUGCACGGGAGGGACUUGGCAUGACUAACGUGCCCAUGUGGCUCCAGAUGCCAUCUUAAACAUCUCAGCUAAGAUCGAAGGACUUGGAGGGGAGAAAGGGAAACUCUUUUAGGGAGUUACCAGGGAAGGCACGGUAGACAGAGGUAUGCCGAUUAUGUUCUGCCUUCUCCACUCAACAGAUAGGAGACAGGUCUUUUAGGUCUUCCCUGUACAUGACCUUACAGAGGUUUGUAGGAAAAUAUCUUUUACUAAAACAACCUCCACCAGCCUCCAGAAAUCCUCCCAAGAAAUCAACCUUUUGACAAAGACCUAUUUUAUGAUGGCAGAUUUGCUCCUCUACAAGCUCCUGAGCAUAAAGCUGAAAUGGGAGGGUGUCUUUUGCUAUUCAUAGCAAAUCCCUGUCAGCCAAACCUGAGUUAACGAGGAAGCUGGAAUUCUGCCACAACCAUCUCUACUCCUCCCCAAGCUGUCUGGAGUCAUGGCCUCUACAGCUGGAUUAGUGCAGCUUUACAGUCUGAUGUGACAAGGAAUUAAAUGUUUGUGACAA
This is a long non-coding RNA of Talpa occidentalis (Iberian mole), 690 nucleotides long. RefSeq lists it as uncharacterized. The transcript has 3 exons. The record is from RefSeq and is a predicted model, not a curated record. Lineage: Eukaryota; Metazoa; Chordata; Mammalia; Eulipotyphla; Talpidae.